This is a long non-coding RNA of Melanotaenia boesemani (Boeseman's rainbowfish), 318 nucleotides long. RefSeq lists it as uncharacterized. The record is from RefSeq and is a predicted model, not a curated record. The transcript is spliced from 3 exons. NCBI's taxonomy places the organism in Eukaryota, Metazoa, Chordata, Actinopteri, Atheriniformes, Melanotaeniidae.
GCUCUGCCGAUCUGCCGUUUCUCAGCACAACCGCUGUUUCCUUUUUUUUAUGGUGCUCCACGCCGUGAGCGGCGAGAGAAGAGAGUAAUUGGGAGUUAACCCCGAAGCCAACUCCACUUCGGCCCUGGAGAGGACGGAUCUCCCCCGUGUCCUCCGACUACUAUCGGCGGAUAAGAAGCGGGAAUGGUUAACACUAGCGUAUUUGACAAAAUACACAUUAAGAGCAAUGCCGGCUAAUCGAGAGGUUUGGGAGGAUUCCCAGUGGGCUGCAUUACUUUUGGGCCGGCGUCCCGGCUUAUGUGAAAAAGGCGCUUUUAU